GAUGACUACAGACAUCUGUGUUUUAUAUCCAUAUGAUGUCUAGAAUACUUCAGAACUGUAAUCUAGACUAUGGAAGCUCAUUUGAAAAUGCAAAUGUGCAUUUAGUUAAUAUAUCACUUGUGACCCUACGUGACUCACGGGCAGAGCAGAGGCUGCUGUGAGCUGUGUGCGUGGAAGGCAUGCAAGCUGAGUGCGGGGAGCCAUGCGACCACUGUGGAUGGAGGGCCAGCCCACGAGGCAAGCAGUGAUGGCUGUGUCACAAAGGAGGGGGCCCGAAGCUGCAAGCACUAAGUUAACUGGCCCAGGCGCCUGGACGAGAAGCUUCUGCAGGGGGUGGGGACUUGGAGCAAGUGAAACAUACUUCUACAGCUUCUAGAUUGCACAUUAUCUAUGACGACAUCACUGUUGUGAUGAAGGUUUAACCCUUCUCGAGUGCUUAGUACCCUGGGAGAGUGCAACUUGGCAAAGCGGACAUGGAAGGACGUCCUAGGUCGUUCUGCUUCAGGCUCCUGGUCCCCUGCACUCCCUUUCCCCUCAACUGAAAGGGAUGGAGAGAGUGGUUGCAGGCUCCAGCACAGUGGAGGAAAGGGCUGGCCUUUGGAAAACCCUCCCUUUCAGACUUUGGGAGCUGGCCUGCUGUCACGGCCACAAGGUUCCAGCCAAAGGAAACAGAAAACUUUGCAGGCUUUCCAUGUGGCCUCUGGAUGGAAUAAAAGAGUCUGAAACAUUGUUCUGAUGUUUGGACUUGGGACUCCCAGUGGCCAGCAGGAAGUCAGGGACCACAUGCUCAAGCCACCGAGAUGCCUGGGACCGCUAAGACAGAGGUCAGGCUGGCAAAGGCUUAUCCCAGAAAUCUUUAGGUUUUGAUUUAAAAACCUCCACCUAUGGGACCCCUGCGGGGUGCCAGGCACUGGGCUAGCAGCUUUGCAUAUAUUAUAUCUAAUCUUUCCAGCCACCUUGCAUAGUAGGUGUUAUUAUCCUCAUUUUAGAACUGAGGAAGCAGAGGUGUCAGCUAUGAUCUUCUUCAUGGCUCUUGGUCCUGCUAAUAGAGCACAGUUGGAAGAGUCCUAGUUCUGUGAAGGAUCUGAAAUGGAAGGAAUAUUAGAGGUCAUGUCUACCUUCCAAGGAUAAUGAUGAAAAGAGAUCGAGAGCCAGAAAUGUAAAUCAGUCUGCUCAAGGACACACAGCAGAGCUGGACACUUUCAUAUCCAUCUCUUCUUUCCCAUGUCCUAGCAGGAGAACAGAGAGAUGUGGUUGCCAUCUGGGAUGAAUGGAGCAAAUGUCAAGGCCUGCUCUGGCCCUAAGAAGCAAUGAUCACCACAGAUAUGGAAGGUUUCAAAGGUCUUCUCACUCAAUAGGGUCGACAUCUCUUAAAAAUGAGGGAAGGGGAAGCUUGGUAGUUCUGGGAGGAAAAAGUAACUUGCCAAUGAUAAAAAUGGAUAUCCAUGUCUGUAAGAUGUUUUCAGCCUUUCACAAGAAAAGUGCAGAAGCAGAGUCGGCAGUUUUAGAAUUGUCUUUUUUCCAUCAUCUCGUAAUCACCAGUGUCACGCACAGCUAAAUCUUUGCUUCCAGGGGCUGACAAGUUUGCUUUUCUCUUUCUUCGGUUUGCUCCAAAUUGCUCAAGGUUCCAGCAGAAAGCUCUUUUAGAAAUGUCCCUGUAUUAUCUCAUGAAGUCUCCAGGGAGUGUAUAGCCCACAUUCAGUGCUGUGACAUAAACACCAGACUCUUGGAGCCACAUGCGGGAUGGCCCAGGUCCCCGCAUCUUGGAACUCAGACAUGGUGUAUAUACUGGGGUCUGGCAUCGGCACCAGAUACAGAGUACUUAAGAAGCAUUAGGGCUGAAAGGGAACUUGGAGGCUAUUUCAAACUCCCAUUCUCUGAAUUAAAUCAUACCUAUUUUUCAUCUGACCAGUGAGUGGCCUUCAGAAAUUCUCAGAUAGUAACCUGUUGGUUCAGCGAUUGGGUCAUUUACAAGGGCACAGAAAAAGUAGUUGAAGUGAUUGGUUCUAUUUUUCAUCUUGAAUGUUCUUUAAGAGACAUUUUUACUUAUCUGUAUGUGAAAAUAAUAGUGGAUAAACCUGUUUAUCAAUGGAACAAAAUACGAAAUCGACACACAUUCAAGAGUUUCUCCUAGCUAGUCUUAUCCAUGCUUCCUACACUUCAGCCACUGGAUGACUUGCUGGUGCCUGAUUAUGUCACGACGGUGCCCAAAGGAAAUAAUAGUAAUACCUUUUUCAGUGUGCUAUCUAUGAUUUACCCUCUUAUCAAAAAGGAUUUGAUACUUGCUAGUUAACUUUUCACAUAGUAUUGUCCACUUAACCCUAGAAAGGACCCCUUGAAAGGGAUCUCUGUUCCCAUUUUCUAUUGCCAAACCUAGGCACAGACAGGGGAAACAUCUAGCUCAAAGUCACUUGGUGUUUUAGAUGUAGGAGCAAUGGGUCUCCUGAGUUCCAAUCCAGAAUUCUUUCCUCUGUAUUGCAUGGGAUAAGGCCUUAGUUCUCCCAGAUUUGGUGGAGAUAUUUGACCACUGAUACUUGCUCCCAAGAUGGGAAAAACACCUGCUGUUGCUUUGCCAUAGCACAGUACCACAUACCUCAUGUGCACACAAGCUUCCCUGCCUUGAUUCAUCCUGUUCCCUCUGCUGGGAAUGCCCUCCCUUCCUCUUCUCCAAAUGACCAACUCUUCCGAAUUCCUUUUAAGCCCAUGUGUUCUCUGACUAAUUUUCUUUUCUUGGUCCCAUGGUGCUUUGCAUGCCUCCACGACAGCAUGUUAGUGGGCAGGAAGCCAUAGCCAGGUGUGUCUCAUGGAGUCACAGAGGGGACAGAACCCAGUGACCAAUUAGAGGGAAAGCUUGUUCGGAUGCAGGAUCAAGUCUUCGUUUUUAUAUUUUCAUCACAAUGCCUGGAACACUAGGUAUUCGGUCGAUGUUGGACCUGAAGUUGCUCAGAGCCAGAACGUCAGCCUGCUCCUAGAAAGAAACAAGGUGGCAGGCAAGGAGUAAUGUAGUAAACAUGGAAACCAGGAUCUCAGCUUUCAGAUUUCAAAGUGAAUUUCUUGAGGCUACAGAUAACUUCCUACAGUGCCUAUGCACUUCAGAUGGUUAUGAGCACUUUGGAGGGACUCUUGGAACUCUGGGAGAUGGGCCUACCAGCAGUUCGUGUCUCGAAUGAGCGUUAGCUCCCUUAACUAAUGCCUACCUGACUGCUGGUGUACCACGCACUGUUGCCUUAGCCUGUAUUUUUCUUUCUAUGUGUCAAAAACAACAUUAGAUGGAGAAAAUGAAUUGAGUGUGUUGGAGGGCAACCUAUGAGCCCCAGACUAACCUCCCGUUUGGUGAUGAUGUAUCCUAUUUCAUUGCUAAUUUUGCAAUUAAGCAGGAGGACUUUAUAAGCCCGAAUGACCCAUGGAUUGUAUCUUAAUCAAAUAAGGUGUCUAUAACAUAAGACCGAUUCAGUGCUCAACUGUUAGAACAACAAAUGAUGCAAAGCCUAAAUUUUCUCCUUCCUUUCUCUCUCCUCUCCCCAAAAAACCCUCCAUCACGAAAGGUCAACUAACUGAAAAGCUGUUGUUUUGAGGGCUGACAUGAGAUCCCAUUGGUUAAAAAUGCGAGAAGCCUGGCUACUUCCCCUCACCCUACUUCAAACCAACUGUAUGUGUGUGAUAGUGUGUGUGUAAGUUUGGAUGAAAAAAAAUUGUGGUUAAUUCUUCUUGUUGUGUACUUCCUGCCCCUGACAUUUGUUGCUGCUGCUGUGUAAUGUAGUUGAGGCUGAGUGGAAGAAUCAGAUGCAAAUGACCUAGAGAUGUAGUCCUCAGUUAUGCCUGUUCUCCUCAACCUCUGUUCUUGGAAAACCUGGAAAGUAGAAAAAGGUGACCAAGGAAGCCAGCUACACAUUCAUCACCCUGAAGCAACCCCUUAGGAUAUUAGAUCAUUUUAGUUCGUAAGUAAUUUGAAAAACGUACAAUUCUGUUUAAUAAAAUGAUAUAUGUUUUAAGACUAUAAGUCACAAAUAAUGGUUUCUUAAAAAAAUAUUUUAUUUACUUAUUUGUCAGAAAAAGGGAGCACAAGCAGGGGGAGCAACAGACAGAGGGAGAAGUGAUGUGGGACUUGAUCCUAGGACCCUGGGAUCACGACCUGGGUUGAAGGCAGACACUUAACUGACUGAGCCACCCAGGCACCCCACAGAUAACGGUUUCUUAAAGAAGACUUUGAGUCAAGGGCUAAGGCUUAUGUUUUCCUGGACUUGAUUCAUCAACUCUUAGAGGGACUUCAGCAAUGGUUUCCCAUCCUCAGCUGAUCCAUUUUCCAUGAUUAGUAGAGCAUUUCUUAAUGUUUAUCAGGUCACAUGUCUUCCCUAUUUAAAAUCUUUUAGUGGGUUCCAAUUCCACUAAAUUCAAAGCGCUUGCCGUAUUUACAAGGCCUACAUAAUGUGACCCUUCUUUGCCUUCUGAACUUCCCUCCCCCCCCCCCCCCCCCGCUACACUGGUCAAUUGUUGCCAGCCACAGGACCUUUGUAAAGGCUGUUUCAACUAUUUGUUUGCCCCUCUGCUCCUUUCCUGGCUUACAGCAUAAUGGUCACCUCUACAGACAGGACUUCCCUGACCCACCAAUGAAAACUAUGCCAUUCUUUCUGUUAGGUCUCUUCACACUUCCUGACACUUUCCCUUUCGUGAAUGUAUCAUAAUGUAUCUUUGUAUUUAUUUCUGUACUGAAUUUUUAUUUAAUGGCUGUUUACUCACUACUCUACAAGCUUUACGUCUGUUUGAUAAGUCACUGUAUCCAGUUCUGGGCAUACAGUAGAAGCUUAAUUAAUAGUUAUUGAAAGAGAGAAUGAGCAACCCAUUGACUUUCAUAAUACUUAAAAUUCCUUAGCCUCAGAAUGGGAGUAGUCAUCUUUAUUUUACAACUAGCUAUGGAAUUCAACUUGAUAGUUUUCUUACACAGAACUUUAAAAUAUUAACAUAUUGGUUGGCCAUGGAAGCCAUGUGAGACUGGGAGUUUUUUCUUUUGUUUUUUCCCCUCUGUUGAGAGUUCAGUGGCUCAUAUACUAGGGAUUAGGCACAGCCCCUCUUCUUCAUCUCAUGCCAGGCCAGGCUAGUUGCAUUUCUUCUGAAUCUCCUUUCCUUUACCCCCUCCAGUCAUUGUCUCUGCCUUUAACCAGCCCAGGAAAUCAUAAGGAACACAUAUGUCAACAGUUCAAGGCUCACUCAUCACCAGUCCCCCUUUCUUUAGGAAUUUCUUUUUGUCUAAAUAAUCUUGGAGAGUUUUAAAAAGAUGCUCAGAGGUUGUUGAAUAAGAUGCUAAGUGCCAAAUGCCACUGUUCUCCCAAUCCCAUCUCAGCAGGAUCCAGGUCCUGUCCUACUUUCUGCUUGGCCUCCCUUUCCCUUUGUCCUUCUCACUCAGUCCUUAGAUGCCAGAGCCCAAGUUUUUCCAGGUGUGUACAUAUGAAACCCAUGGCUCUGAUUUCUUUUCAGUCCAAAAAUUUCUUCCAGGAUGGAUACAGACACCUGAGAGAAGGUGAGAAUAAAAGGAGUCAUGUUUUCCAAAAAAUCCAAAUCCUUGAGAUUCCUUUAGCCCAGAAUGGGAGGAGAGUAUUACUACAGUUGGUCCACCUGUUUGUCAAGAAAGUGGGAAAGUGUGCUGUGUUUAAAAGAUGAAUCAUGGAGGAGCAUUGACCUCACAUAGGAUUUUCCAUCUCAGCUCUGUGUAUGUGCUGGAUUUCAGCCUCUAGAAUUCCAGUAUGCGGAGGGGUUUUAAUGUUAUCUUAAAGCAGUGAUGUCCCUAACCCCCAAGAAGCUAAGAGGAUGAGGGGUGUGGAGAGAUAUUUAUAGAAGACCAAUGAUCUGCUUUGGAGUAUGAUGCCUGCCUGGGAAAAGUGACGAGGCUGGCAAUGUCCGAAAAGGUACCACCGGCACCAGACCAACCUGCCCUAUUUGAUAAACAAAGACUACUGGAGAAGACUGGGAAAACAGCUAAAGAGUUGUUCAAUAUUUUGCCCAUGAAAUGUGCAUGGAGAACAGAAAUUUGAACAUCUUCCAAAAUAAGUGGCACUUAAAGGAAUGGUGUCCGCAUAUUGCUGGUGUGGAGCGAGGGCAAAACUGCUGGUGAAGCAGGAAGGGUCUCGUUCAUUUGCCCUUGUCGCUCCCCUUCUUCUUAUCCAUUCAGCACCCCUGGACCCCCGCAUAGACUCAUCUUGUUUGUUUUGUUUUUUGGGGGGAGGAAUAGUACCAAUGAGGCCCAGCCCCUUUCAAUUUUUCUUUUCUUCUUUUUUUAGUCUAAUUCAGGACAAAAAAAGCUUUCAUCGAAAGAACAGA
Lutra lutra (Eurasian river otter) is the source of this 6312-nucleotide long non-coding RNA. RefSeq lists it as uncharacterized. NCBI's taxonomy places the organism in Eukaryota, Metazoa, Chordata, Mammalia, Carnivora, Mustelidae. The transcript has 6 exons. The record is from RefSeq and is a predicted model, not a curated record.